Molecule: RNA transcript, 4376 nt
Organism: Scylla paramamosain (green mud crab)
Lineage: Eukaryota; Metazoa; Arthropoda; Malacostraca; Decapoda; Portunidae
Exons: 6
Source: RefSeq, a predicted model, not a curated record
CUAUUUUUUUUAGCAACGCUCGCCAACAGAAGCAAUUAGUUUCUUUGACACGUGUUACUUAUUUUCAACUGCAGACGAUUCUCCUGACUACAAAUUACGCAAGAGGCACAAAAAUAUUUAAACUGCUCGAGCACUUGAUUUGCUGUCAGAGCUGUCCUUCAAAAUUAUAAUCUACACUUGUGCUAGACAUUUGAUUAAGCUUGAGGAGAAGACAUGGCAAGACACAAACCUAAAAGAGAAGGAAAAAAGAGUCUGCUAUACUGCUAUACUAUAUACACUGCUUUGAUCCACACACCACGAAAACACCCACCUCAAAACUCAUCUCUGAUCAUGAUAUUUGUAACCUGCACGAUCCUUUCAACCUUUUUCGAUGUGGUUCGUGUGUACUUGUGUAAUAAAAAAAAAAAAGGUAAAAGCAAGAGUUCCACCUGCGACAAAGAGGGGAGAAGAUAAAAGCAAGCGAUCCAGCAACCAGGAAGAGGUGAUAAGAUAAAGCAAGACAUCACACAACAGGAACAGGUAUCGAGGUAAAAACAAGAGAUUCAGCUAAAAAGGACAGGUAACGAGAAAGAUAAAGCAAGAAACCCAGUAAAGAGAAACAAGUGACAAGAAAGUUGAGAGCAAGAAAUCCACCUAACAGGAAAAGAUAACCUCAACCUCACCUUUACCUGGAAGAAAGAAUAAAGCGAGAAUACCAACAAGAACAUCGAUUCAGAAAUAAUUGUAAGGAAACUGUUGAAUAUGAAGUAAUAGAGAAGGAUAACAGCGAAAGAUCACGUCUCCGCUGUGAGGUGAUGAGGACCUUGUUUACGGCGCCACAAAUAUGAUUACGCUCGUGUUGUGUGCCCGGGUCGCCCCUCCUGGCUCGGUGAAAGGCUUCGAGUAUCAAUUUUGCCUCCCUCUCAUCGCGGUCCCAACACGCGGCUCCUCUUCUACUGUCGUCUUGCAGUGAGAGACUUUUAGUGCUGUUUGUGAAGGGGGGAGGAAUCGGGGGAGCCAGGGAAAGGUUACUGUUUACAAUGACACAUCAGAAUAGAAUUUGGCUUGUACUUUCAUCUUUCAGUGCCAAGUAUGUUCUUGUUGUUGAUGAUGGUGGUGGUGAUGGUGGUGGUGGUGGUGGUGGUGUUGCUGGUACAAAUACAUUUUUCUUUCUCUGUAUACUGAGUGGUCUUUCUUCCCUUUUCAGCUGAAGAGAACGGUGGGUCUUUACGUCAGGGAGAAGAAAGUCCGUCCUUCACUGUGUUGUCCCCCACGAUGACUGCCAUUCCCUUCUUUGACAUCAUAAGAUUUCUCAAGAUGUGACAGACUUGGACACACACACACACACACACACACACACACACACACACACACACACACACACACUGUGGUGUCUAUUAAAUGGUCCAGCCUUCCAUACAUUGCAGAGCGUUAAAUCGGUUAGUUAAAGCGGAGGUGGAUAUGUGACAUGUGUGAAACGAAAUAGCUCGUUUGCUAAGAAACUGCCCUUUUAAAAGGAUGCAGUAUCUGACUCAAGCAAUCACCAUAUUCCUGUGAAGCACACAAAAGCAGUUUAGCAAGAUGUACUACUUCUCGUGAAUUUACUUUUCGAUCACUACAUACUUGCUAUUUAAAGACCUGAACAACCAUACGACCUAAACAAGAUAACUGGUCUUCACACGCACUUGAGCUCGCCGUUUCUACUGGGCAGGGAGAGGCGGGAGCAUAGUCACUUGGUACUGGAGCGGAAGGUAAUCAGGUCGCAUUGGCCUCAGGUCAGAUGAUCCUCAAGGCAGAUUGGCCUGAGUGUAAAUAAGCCGCAGGACGUUUGGUUCUCGAAACACUUGGUACUCAAACCACUUGGUCUCUAAAAUGUCUCAGAGUGAUUGUAAUUAGGGAAAAGUGUACCAAGUGGGAGUCAAACGGUUAAACAUCAAUUAUACAGCUUUGUGACUCGUCUCUGAUCGCCGCCACACACACACACACACACACAGACACACACACACACACUCAGGGCGGUGAAGCGGGUGGAAGUGCAUUGUUAUUACCUCCAUACACCACGGUAUCCUUAGCGCCCCUCCAAGCCUUGCCCCUAGACUCGGGUGUGUAGGAGGAAGAGGAGGAGGAGGGGCAAGGAGGAGUAUGGGUACCAUUCGCCCCAGUACCAAGUGACUGCAAACCAAGAGAGGUGAGCCUGGCAGUAAUGGUUGCCAUAGCUAAACUUCUACUGUUUCUCCUCGCACUGUAAAUUUAGGAACAUAUUUCUGGCAGGCGUCCACGGUGCCACCAAGGAAGCCAAGGGUGCUGCCUGGAUGGGUUCAUCACUUUGGCUGGCAUGCCUGUCACCUCUCCAAGGUUGCCACGAAAAGUAAAACGUGUUUUACGGAUCAUCGUUACAUUCCAGCGCCUCUUAAUUGCCUACGAAAUGUUUACUUAACCUCUACACGCCAAGAAAUGAGACUUCAGUUCAUAAUCGUACAUGAGGAGAAUAAUAUUUUGAAAUCCGCGCCAUGACGUCACAGCAGAGUCAUCCUGCGCGCGCAGGCCAGUGUGUGCGGCGGUAUGUUUGUUUUGUGUGUCGUGUCAAUGGUAUGUGAAUUUCUGACGUUUUAUUAGUUAUUUUCCCAACCAUGGUGCGUGACAUGGUGGCGGGAGGUGUAAUGGUGUACAGCGCGAUGGUGAGACAUGGUGGUAAUGGUGCAGAGCGAGGAAAUGCUGAAAUUACUGGUGGUGGCAGGGAGGUGUAGGCGUGGCGGCAGGACGGUGUAGUGAUGAUGACUUCCUUGGCAAGUACGAACCACUCCUGCCCGGCUAUCAGCGACGCCGUCUGAGUGCCUCGGCCGCGGACAGCCCCGUGAUGGUCAGCCCUCCAAGUGUGCUCGUCUUAGCAAGGCCUUCCUCUCCCAGACGACCAAAACGCAGAGGGAGGUGUUCCACGCGCCCUUCUUCACCACCCGGUUCUGUACGGCCUGGACGGGGCUCUUCUGCCCGCUCUGCCUCGCCUGCCUCUCCUGCUUCCGGAGGGACAAGGACUCACUCAAGGUCUCCCUCAAAACCAUCGCACAGAACUUCAGGGACCGCGGCGUCACUUUCAACCUCGUCGAGAAGACACACACCUGGGCGUCUCCAGGAUCCUUCUGACACACAGGGAGGUGUAUCACUCCGCCAGCAGCAAACUUGACGUCAUGGGCCAGGGCAUGCAGCGGCGUGCAGUGCGUGGGUAUGGUGACUGUGUGGCCUCUGAUGUAGAGGUGUGUGAGCUGCUGGACGAGAGAAGAGCAAACGAAAAGUAAACAUGGGAUUGCUGCCGCCUCAGGACACUAGGAGCAUUGCGGAAGCGCUGAGGAAGACAUCACAACCCUUGACACAGCGAACACAACUCAGUACUGAGGCUGGCACUGGCUUCUCCCAACAUCUCACGUGGUCAUUGCAACAAAAGGAGGUGAUCUUGCAACCUCAGGGAAAACAACAUGCAGCAAGUGAGUUGGAAUGGCUAGAACCAGAGGAUGGGGGUGUGCGUCCAGGGAGUUGAGGAGUGCCACUGCUUCAACUGAUGUGUGGGACCCUGAGGCAGAGGGUCCACCAGGUGUGUGUGUGUGUGUGUGUGUGUGUGUGUGUGUGUGUGUGUGAGAAUGUUUCCCUACUUGUGGUGAAUGGUAAGGAAAAAGAGUGUGUGGUGGUGUGUGGUGUGGCCUUGCUUGUGGCAGAUGCAUUGGGGAGUGUGUGGUGGUGUGUGGUGUGGCCUUGCUUGUGGCAGAUGCAUUGGGGAGUGUGUGGUGGUGUGUGGUGUGGCCUUGCUUGUGGCAGAUGCAUUGGGGAGUGUGUGGUGGUGUGUGGUGUGGCCUUGCUUGUGGCAGAUGCAUUGGGGAGUGUGUGGUGGUGUGUGGUGUGGCCUUGCUUGUGGCAGAUGCAUUGGGGAGUGUGUGGUGGUGUGUGGUGCAUGACCCUCACUUCUGGUUGAUGCCCUGCAGAGGAAAUAUAAUCAGCAUAGUAUUUAUUGCUGUGUGUGUGUGUGUGUGUGUGUGUGUGUGUGUGUGUGUGUGUGUGUGCGUGUGUGCUUGCGUGAGUGCGUGUGCGUGCUUGGGCGUGAAAGUGUGUGUGCAUGGGCGUGACAGUGCAUGUGCGUGCGUGGGCGUGAGAGUGUAUGUGCGUGCGUGGGCGUGAAAGUGCGUGGGUGUGAGACUGCGUGUGUGUGAGAGUGCGUGAGUGCGUGUGCGUGCGUGGGCGUGAGAGUGCGUGGGCGUGCGUGUGCGUGAGGGUGCGUGUGCGUGUGCGUGAGAGUGCGUGGGCGUAGGUGGGCGUGAGAGUGCGAGGGCGUGCGUGGGCGUGAGAGUGCGUGUGUGUGAGAGUGCGUGGGCGUAUUGUUGAAUUAGUAGCGGGUACAUAAGAACAUUUGA